GACGAACGCUGGCGGCAUGCCUAACACAUGCAAGUCGAACGAGAACUUCCGGUCUAGUGGCGCACGUGUGCGUACCGCCUGGUAAGCUGCACUUAAGUUCGGAGUAACUCCCCGUAGGGGGUGCUCAUACCGCAUAAUGUAUUCGGACCAAAGAUGUUUGGCCUUUGGAUGGGCCCGGGUUGGUUUAGCUGGUUGGUAGUGGAAAAGCCUACCAAGGCGAGGAUCCAGAGCUGGUCGGAGAGGAUGACAAGCCACACUGGGACUGAGACACGGCCCAGACUCGGACGGAAGGGAGGAGAGGGGAAUAUAGGACGCGGGGCGAAAGCCUGACCAAGCAAUGCCGCGUGAGUGAUGAAGGCCUUAGGGUUGUAAAGCUCUUUUACCCGGGAUGAUAAUGACAGUAACGGGAGAAGAAGCACCGGCUAACUCCGUG
This 433-nucleotide ribosomal RNA is filed under the name uncultured bacterium. RNAcentral's name for it is "partial 16S ribosomal RNA". It matches the Rfam family "Bacterial small subunit ribosomal RNA", at positions 28 to 507 of the family's 1533-position model. The record is from RNAcentral.